CCCUCACGCGAGGACCAGAGAUGGACCUCUUCAGUUCGGGCUGGGUGAGGAGACAGGUGCUGCAUGGCUGUCGUCAGCUCGUGUCGUGAGAUGUUGGGUUAACGUCCGCAACGAGCGCAACCCUCGCCUUUAGUUGCCAUCAUUCAGUUGGGCACUCUAAAGGGACUGCCGGUGAUAAGCCGGAGGAAGGUGGGGAUGACGUCAAGUCCUCAUGGCCCUUACGGGUAGGGCUACACACGUGCUACAAUGGCGGUGACAGAGGGCAGCGACCCCGCGAGGGGAUGCUAAUCCUAAAAAGCCGUCUCAGUUCGGAUUGCACUCUGCAACUCGGGUGCAUGAAGUCGGAAUCGCUAGUAAUCGCUAAUCAGCAGGUAGCGGUGAAUACGUUCCCGGGCCUUGUACACACCGCCCGUCACACCAUGGGAGUUGGUCUUACCUUAAGACGGUGUGCUAACCGCAAGGAGGCAGCCGGCCACGGUAAGGUCAGCGACUGGGGUGAAGUCGUAACAAGGUAAGCGUAGCGAG
RNAcentral lists this ribosomal RNA (525 nucleotides) under uncultured bacterium. RNAcentral describes it as "bacterial SSU rRNA". It matches the Rfam family "Bacterial small subunit ribosomal RNA", at positions 988 to 1509 of the family's 1533-position model. The record is from RNAcentral.